GACGAACGCUGGCGGCGUGCUUAACACAUGCAAGUCGAACGGAAAGGCCCUGCUUUUGUGGGGUGCUCGAGUGGCGAACGGGUGAGUAACACGUGAGUAACCUGCCCUUGACUUUGGGAUAACUUCAGGAAACUGGGGCUAAUACCGGAUAGGAGCUCCUGCUGCAUGGUGGGGGUUGGAAAGUUUCGGCGGUUGGGGAUGGACUCGCGGCUUAUCAGCUUGUUGGUGGGGUAGUGGCUUACCAAGGCUUUGACGGGUAGCCGGCCUGCGAGGGUGACCGGCCACAUUGGGACUGAGAUACGGCCCAGACUCCUACGGGAGGCAGCAGUGGGAAAUAUUGCACAAUGGGCGGAAGCCUGAUGCAGCAACGCCGCGUGCGGGAUGACGGCCUUCGGGUUGUAAACCGCUUUCGCCUGUGACGAAGCGUGAGUGGCGGUAAUGGGUAAAGAAGCACCGGCUAACUACGUG
Molecule: ribosomal RNA, 468 nt
Filed under: uncultured bacterium
Lineage: Bacteria
Description: partial 16S ribosomal RNA
Rfam family: Bacterial small subunit ribosomal RNA
Source: RNAcentral